CCAGGUCUUUAGGACUAAGCCGGAGUUUGCAUUGUGGAACGUUCGGGGACGCUGUAUUAACUGGUUUAUCUGCAUUACCACCGAGUCUUCCUAACAACUCGUGUUGGAGACUAGUAUUCCAUUUUAUAGUUGGGGAAACUGAAGCCUUAGCAACUGCCCAGCUUACGCCCACAGUACACGAUAGAGUCAGAAAUUGACUUCCCAAGCCUAGUCUCUUAAUCAUACCUGUGCACUGCCUCUCUACUACACCUAAAACCUGUGUUUUACAAAUGUCCUUUCAACACCAUUUGUCUCAGCUCUGUAUUCGUCGGCCCUCUGGGGGAUACAGCGAGGUAGAAGCCUUGGCCCCGUUCUGAACCAGUUGACCAAAAAUCCCGAGCAAAGCGCUCCAGUGAGAGGAGGGAGAGACAGCUGUCAGCUGGAGCUGCUGAAUGCAGCGCGAAGGAUGGAAGGAUGCUGAUUUGAGCUGGGCGUGAUUUGGAAGAUCCAGAGAAGGACAUUCCAGGUCCCGGACAGCCAAAGCGAAGUCUCACAGGAUUCUGCCCUGCCCUUCAGCUCUGCAUCUGAUGGCCAGCAUCUGGGGGAUCUUGUUUUCCUAAGAUUGUUGGAAUUCCUGUUAUCAUCAUAUGAAGUCUUCCCCUGGCGUCAUCAGCUUCCUGUAUCCAGGAGCUGUUCUAACUAAGGAACCUCAGUGCAGACACCUGAAUAUCACAUUCUCUGCCUGAAGAAUUCUCCGAUCUUGGUAGAGUGUGGACCCUUUUGAGAUCUUGCUUUUUGGCAUGAUCAUUUCUGACAUACCUCUGUGUCCAUUGGUGUAAUUUUUUGUUUUUGGAAACAGACUGAGCUGCUUCUGCCCAGAGCCAUCAAGGCUGUACCUGAAACUGUCUCCUGACCUUGGAGUGCUCAAGUUCACAUGGACUCUCCACUUUGUUCUGGAGAUAUGUGGGCUCCGGCUCAGGCAGCAUCAAGACAAGCCAGGCCUGCAGACCUCCCCAAGGGACAAAAGCCCUCCUCCUCACCCACGAAGGUGGGCUCAUCCUGCUGGAUAUGAGACCUUCCCUUUACCUCUGCUAUCUUUUCUCUGUGUAAGAUUCACAUGACUCCCGCUCAGUCAUGGAUGUGGGCACGCCUCCGUGCCCGGGACCUCCACCGUCUCUUCCCCAGUCCUGCUGCAACUGCUCCGUAGCCCAGGCCCCACGACAUAACCGUCCCUGUGGCAGCAGCUGGUAGAUAAGACCAAAGGAUAUGACCAAAGAUUGGAAGGGUUAGGCCUCUCAGGAGGAUUGCCCCAGGGGCACGAUGCUGGCAGGUUAUGAGAACGAGAUGCCUCAGGGUAAGGACCCAGCCUUCACUUACUAAUCCUGUAAAUGAUGGAGAAGGGAAAGCCAGCGCUUAAAAAUAUCCCACCACGGAGUUCCCGUUGUGGCACAAUGGGAUUGGCAGCAUCUUGGGAGCUCUGGGACACAGGUUCUGUCCCAGCCCGGCACAGUGGGUUAAGAAUCCAGGGUUGCCGAAGCUGUGGCUUAGGUUGCAACUGCGGCUCAGAUCAGAUCCCUGGCCUGGGAACUCCAUAUGCUGCAAGGCAGCCAAAAACAGAAAACAAACGAAAACUAUAUAUGUGUGUGUGUGUGUGUGUGUGUACAAAUCCCACUGCUUGCUCCAUGAGUCCCCUAAAAUGAAGAUAAGACUCCAGCCAAGAAAUUAAGUUGAUUUGGGAAAAACUAAAAAUCCCUCCUUGGUGUUAUAACUUCAAGUUCAGUUUACUGUUAUUAUGUAGUGCUUUCUAGCAAUAUUUUCCCAUUUAUAUUAUUUUUAAAAGAAAUGGAAUUUCCCUGGUGGCCUAACAGGUUAAGGAUCCCGCAUUGUCACUGCUGUGGAUAAGUGACAAUGCUGUGGUGUGGGUUUGACCCUUGGCCCAGGAACUUCUGCAUACCAUGUCCAAAAAAGCCCAUUAUUGCCUUAGAGAUUUCCAAUUAUCUCUCCAGUUUGAUUAACAAAAACUGGUUAAUUAGGUUUCACUGUAUGAGCUAAGGAGUUUCAUUAUUCUGUUUGCCUAAAAUCUAAAAUUUGUACUACAUAUUUGCAUAUAUAUAUCUUACAUAUAUGUAUUUGUAUAUUUGUAUUGUGCCUUUGUAUUUGUAUAUAUCUUUUUUUUUUUUUUUUUUUUNUUUUUUUGUCUUUUUGCCUUUUCUUGAGCCGCUCCCGCGGUAUAUGGAGCUUCCCAGGCUAGGGGUCCAAUCGGAGCUGUAGCCACCAGCCUACACCACAGCCACAGCAAUGUGGGAUCCAAACUGCGUCUGUGACCCACACCACAGCUCACAGCAACACUGGAUCCCCAACCCACUGAGCAAAGGCAGGGAUGAAACCUGCAACCUCAUGGUUCCUGGUCGGAUUCGUUAACCACUGCACCACGACGGGAACUCCUGUAUUUGUAUAUAUCUUAUUUAAAAUUCUCCUUAGAGUUCCUGUUGUGGAUCAGAGGGUUAAGAACAGCAUAGCGUCCAUGAGGACGCAGGUUCAAUCCCUGGCCUUGCUCAGUGGGUUAAGGAUCCGGCGCUGCUGCAAACUGCAGUGUAGGUCACAGAUGUGUCUGGAAUCCCACGUUGCUAUGACUGUGGCCUAGGCAGGCAGCUGCAGCUCUGCUCCUAUUCGACCCCUAGCCCAGGAACUUCCAUAUGCUGCAGGUAUGACCCUAAAAAAAAAAAAAAAAAAAAAAAA
RNAcentral lists this long non-coding RNA (2718 nucleotides) under Sus scrofa (pig). Its description in RNAcentral is "lncRNA (ENSSSCG00045038896.1)". The record is from RNAcentral. Lineage: Eukaryota; Metazoa; Chordata; Mammalia; Artiodactyla; Suidae.